Molecule: ribosomal RNA, 378 nt
Filed under: uncultured bacterium
Lineage: Bacteria
Description: bacterial SSU rRNA
Rfam family: Bacterial small subunit ribosomal RNA
Source: RNAcentral
UAUUGGACAAUGGGCGAAAGCCUGAUCCAGCCAUGCCGCGUGUGUGAUGAAGGCCUUACGGCUGUAAAGCACUUUUGUCCGGGAAGAUAAUGACUGUACCGGAAGAAUAAGCCCCGGCUAACUUCGUGCCAGCAGCCGCGGUAAUACGAAGGGGGCUAGCGUUGCUCGGAAUCACUGGGCGUAAAGGGCGCGUAGGCGGACUCUUAAGUCGGGGGUGAAAGCCCAGGGCUCAACCCUGGAAUUGCCUUCGAUACUGAGAGUCUUGAGUUCGGAAGAGGUUGGUGGAACUGCGAGUGUAGAGGUGAAAUUCGUAGAUAUUCGCAAGAACACCAGUGGCGAAGGCGGCCAACUGUCCGAUACUGACGCUGAGGCGCGAAA